Molecule: non-coding RNA, 792 nt
Filed under: Cyrtanaspis phalerata
Lineage: Eukaryota; Metazoa; Arthropoda; Insecta; Coleoptera; Scraptiidae
Source: RNAcentral
UAAGGGAGGAAAUUACUAUUAGGUUUACGAUAAAAAAAAAGUUAAAAAAAUUUAAAUUUGGUUUAUAAUUUUAUUGUUUGAUUUAUAUAAAUAUAAAUUUUAUUUUUUUAAAUAAGGAUUAGUAAUAUAAAGUUUUAAAAUUUAAGGAAACUUAGAUUUAGUAAUUUAUUAAAAUAUAAACAAAAUUUGUGCCAGCAGUUGCGGUUAUACAAAUUAUAUAAGUAAAAUUUAUUUAAUUUAAUUAAAUUGUUUAUUUAAGUUCAAAAAUAAAUUUAUUAAGUGAAAUUUUAAAUUUAUUUAAUUUUUUAAAAUAAUUUGUAAUUAGGAAAUUUAUAGAAUAAACUAGGAUUAGAUACCCUAUUAUUUUAAAUGUAAUUUUAAUAUUAAAAUAAUUAAUAGAUAUGGGCUUUAAAGUUAAAAAUUUUGGCGGUAUUUUAGUCUAUUUAGAGGAACCUGUUUUAUAAUUGAUAAUCCACAAUAAAUUUAACUUUUUUUUUUAAUUUAUAUAUCGUCGUGGUUAGAAUAUUUUAAAAGAAUAAAAAUAUUUUUUUUUUAAUUAAAAUAGAAUUCAGAUCAAGGUGUAAUUUAUAAAAAAGAAAAAAUGGGUUACGUUAAAUAAAAUUUAUGAAAAAUUAAUUUAAAUUUAAUUUGAAAUAGGAUUUAAAAGUAAUUAAAUAAAAUUAUGUUUAAUGAUUUUAGCUCUAGGAUAUGUACAUAUUGCCCGUCGCUUUCAUAUUUAAGUGAAAUAAGUCGUAACAAAGUAGAUUUAUUGGAAAAUGAAUCUAGAAUAUU